This 451-nucleotide ribosomal RNA is filed under the name uncultured bacterium. RNAcentral describes it as "bacterial SSU rRNA". It matches the Rfam family "Bacterial small subunit ribosomal RNA", at positions 354 to 796 of the family's 1533-position model. The record is from RNAcentral.
GUGGGGAAUCUUCCGCAAUGGGCGCAAGCCUGACGGAGCAACGCCGCGUGAGUGAAGAAGGCCUUCGGGUCGUAAAGCUCUGUCUUUGGGGAAGAACAACCAGGGUGUGAACAAUGCUCUGGUCUGACGGUACCUGAGGAGGAAGCUCCGGCUAACUACGUGCCAGCAGCCGCGGUAAUACGUAGGGAGCGAGCGUUGUCCGGAAUUACUGGGCGUAAAGGGCGUGUAGGCGGGGAUUUAAGUAAGGUGUGAAAACUGCGGGCUCAACCCGGAGAUUGCACUUUAAACUGGAUUUCUUGAGGGCAGGAGAGGAAAGUGGAAUUCCUAGUGUAGCGGUGAAAUGCGUAGAUAUUAGGAGGAACACCAGUGGCGAAGGCGACUUUCUGGACUGUACCUGACGCUGAGGCGCGAAAGCGUGGGUAGCGAACAGGAUUAGAUACCCUUGUAGUCC